Molecule: long non-coding RNA, 9894 nt
Organism: Ailuropoda melanoleuca (giant panda)
Lineage: Eukaryota; Metazoa; Chordata; Mammalia; Carnivora; Ursidae
Exons: 3
Source: RefSeq, a predicted model, not a curated record
UUAAAAAAAAAAUCUAUCAGAAUCUAGACUGGAAUUCCAGUAUUUGUCCUUUUCUGUUUCAUGGGGAAUGCUUUCCCCUCCAAGACUCUCUGUAGCCUUAAUUUUUGCACAGUGCAUCACCUGGCUUUUCUGUCAAUACCUGAAAGACAGAUUUGAAAGAACUAGUUUUUCCAACUCUACCUAGAAAUCUAAGCCCAGAUAAGACCAAUGCAAUAACCGUAAAGAAGUUAUUGUUCUUUGCUUCCUUGAGACCAAAAAUCUACUAACACUUGUCCUAUACUGAGAAGUCUAUUGUUUUACAGGAGAUUCUGUAGGACCAAAUAUACUGUUAAAACACAAAUGUAUCUAGCUCUUAGUUGAAUUUCUGUGUCCCAUGUUCUUCAUUAUUGCAAACUCAAAUGCCAGUAAUGCCCGCUGCAGCCUCUAAAUGGGAACAGCAAGAGGCGAACACUUUCAGAGCUCUGUGAGUCUGGGCAAUCUGCGCCAUUGUUCACCAUUUGCUCAGGGGCAGCCUUGGGAAGCACAUUUUACUUUGGCCCCGGGGCAGGAUUUUUCUCUGAAAGGAGUGCAGAGACGAGGGUGCAGCUAGAGCCACGUCUCGCAGCUGGGGCUUCAGGUUUCCACCGACAGAUCACAGAAGAUGCAGUUUACCACUGGAGCCGUUUGGAGUCAGAAGUGUAGGAGACUGCAACCCAAGAACCUCUGGGUCUCCACGCCACUGUUGGGCUUAGUGAGGAGCCGGGGUGAGAACACAGUAUCCGCCCGGUGCUCCUUCGGGUCGGUCACUGCUACCUGCUUGGUUAAGCAGGCAGGCAAGCCUGGGAGCCCGCCAGCACUGCUCUCCCAAGGAGCUGCCCAUCUGAAGAGAGUCCCUCUAGCAAAUGUGCCUUCAGGGGACUAUAGAACCAGCGGCAAAGCCAUUUGCAUUCAUUCAUCCUACACCUGUCUUUUGCCUCCUAAAAUGUUCAAGGUUCCUGCCAUAUGUAGAUAUGUUUCUGGUCUCUAAAUAGCUGUGCUUAUAGUCCACUCUGAGAUGAUUGAGCAGCAAGGGAGAAGACCAGGCCCAGGGAGAAUAUGGCUCUCUCCUUCCUGAACCGAGUUGUCUGUGCUCCCACGGCCAUUCUUUUGUUAUGGUUGUCCUUGGCCAUGAAACAAAUGCAAGAUCUUUACGAUUUUCCUGAACAAUAAAUGGUACCAACUGAAUGAGAACAAGUUGAUGCCAAAUCUAUGUAUUUUCUGAAAUCACUUUUCUGAAAUAAAGCAGAAAUUACUCUAAUAGCCAUCAUUUAUGUGGACCUUGUGCCAGGUAUAGUGUUAAGGACUUUACUAAGGUAUCUUAUUUAGUGUUCACAACCGCUCUGUGACAUAGGGCUUAUUGGACCCAUUUUACAUGAGGAUUUAAAACUUAGAGGGGAAAGUGACAUUCCCAACGUGACAAUAUCUACUUGUUUCAGAACCCAGACCUUCCCUUUCACAUGGUCAUCGACAACUAGAAGACUGAAGAAAGAGUCCCUCGAAAAGACUCUGCUAGCCCACUUAAGAUAGCUGGUUCCAUCUUCCUUGAAUCCAGUGCACAGGGAAGGCCAUGGUGCUGUCCCCGCCAGCCACACUAGUGCCUGGUGCACCGAGGGUAAGAGCUGCCAGCAGGCGGCUCAGCACCAUGCACACCCGGCAAGGGGCCCAGCCCAGCCCAGCAGUGGCUUUGCUGGGAAGAACAGUGGCUUUGCUGUGGGGCAAACCUGGGCUCCAGAUGUGAUCAGGUCACCAACCUCUCCGACCCUCAGUUUCCACAUCUGUAAAGCAGGGAGUCAUAAUGCCGUCUUCACAGAGAUGCGGUCCACAUGGGAUGAGAAAUUGUAUGUAACUACCUAAUAUGUGUGCUUACUAGAUAAUGUUUAAAAAUACCUAGUUGCUUAAAAUGUCAUUUUACUCUGUGUUAACAAAAGGUUUCCCAGGCACCCUGAAGUGUUUUGGCCCCAGCAGGAGCAGGAUUGAAAGACACAGUGUUCUGCAGUUUCCCCAAAGGCAGGUUCACUCUUUAGAACCAGUUCUGGUUUUUAUGGUCUGUUUUUCCCUCCAAGGUAGGAGGUGGACCAAUGCCUACCCUUCUGCCCUCCCUACCCUAUAGCUCUUUCCCAAGAAUUCUCUCACCUCCCUUUUGUGAUUUCCUUAAGUGCUUUUAAUGGCUGCUUGACACUAGAAAGAUAUUCCCAGCAGGCACUCAAUUUGUAAUUGCUGCUUGUUGCUUGAUGUGAACUUGUGGCUGACCUCUGGGAAAGCAGUGGGGAUUGGGGGAGGGAGCUAGGCUGUGCUCCAGUAAAGCAAGGCGCUAGGACCCCGAGCAGCUGGCAGGCAGCUGGAGGAGUGGCUCCAAACAUUUCCCUCACACCUUUGGCCACCUCUGUCCUGCGUGUCUGGAAGUGUAAUCGGUAGAGGAUUGUGGUGUGGGUAAAGCCCACCAUUCUUAGCACCAGCCGAAAACCAGAACAGAAACUCAGAUAAUGAGCACCGGCUGCUAGAGGUACGUUUCAGCAGAGUCUGCGUGUUACCACGGAGAGGAGGCGUGCAGGGUCCUUAGGGUCAUUCUUUAUGCCCCAGAGCCAACCAGCCAGCAUUUCGUGGCCUGCCACCUGGGGGUCUAGGCGGCCUCCCACUUUUUUUUUUUUAAACCUUCUAAAUAGGACUGUCUUCACCAAGGGGAAGGUGAUUGAGAAAUGGAGGCAAAAUGCAAAUCACUUAUGUCUUUGUUUCACAAAUAGACAGCUGCUAAGGAGGGUUUAAGUGUUUAGUUACAAGACACACCCUCGAGCAACAGCUCUCAGUCUAGAGGUGGAAAAGCCAAGUAUCAUACAGGGUUAAUCCCACCACAAGAGACAUGUGUAGCUGGUGACCAAUGCCAGGGAAAUGGGUUUCAUGCUUCGUGCCUAGUCAUAUGCGACUGACUCUCUUGAACCUUACAGGCUGUGCCCUAAACCACACAGCCAGGACUUUACAGAGAGGCUCCAGUGCCCACCACUGUUCACAGCCUCCAUCCUGAUCUCUUAGUCCUGCUCCCCUUGCACUCCACUUGCUGGCCUGCCUGGACCUUCCCAAGUUUGGACUGCUUGAUGAAUUAUCCUGUUCAUGGACAUGGCUCACUGCUUAAGGCUGCCACUCCGCCCCUCACGCCAGCUCUGACUCCUGCCGUGCCUCUAUGGCAAUUGUUCAUGCAUAUGUCCGUACUGAGGCUUCUAGCUCGGCUGGUCUCACCGGGCCUCCGGAUUCUACACUCGUGCCACUCCCCCAGGAGCAGUAGCACCGCCAAGUUCCCCUUAGCCGGACAAGCAGUCCCAGGCUCUGCGGGUCUGAGAGCGGAGUGCGGAAUAGUCUCUGUAGGCCGGAGGGGUCAGUACAACGUGCGUGGAGGACAUACAUGUGAAGGCCAGUUCUGAUUUGGGUAGGGCAAAGGAGAGGGCGUUGCUAUUCCAGGCUGGAGCAAGAGAGGUCCUUGUUAUGACUUGUGAACAGCUGUUAAAGCCGUCAGUGUGAAGGAGGAGUUUAGAACUAGAGCUGCCCCAGAGAUUUAAGGAUUAUCUGUGGAUUUCAAUGCCAUUACUGUUCUUUACUGGAGGGGAGGGGAGGGGGAGUUGGAAUGAAAGAGAAAAUAAAGCCUAUAGUACAGAGUUAUGUCAGAUUCAUGGGGUCCUACACUCCUCCUCCAGGCAGUUUUUGCAUUCCUAUGGUAGGCCUGAUUUGAGCGUCUGCCUUUAACCCCUAGCAAGAGUGCCCUUUACAGCCAUGUUGUGACCGUUCGUUCCGGUUAAGAUGAAUAAGAGCUAAGUGGGUGACCAUCUUUUCUUUUACAGAGACCAGUUGUUCCCGCCUUGGUUGCUAGGCCCCUAAUCUAACGCCAUUUCUAAAGCCUGGUCUUCCCACCCUCUCCAGUGGGCAAGAAGAGGCAUAGGGUUAGCCACCAGAAUCCGUCCCAGCAGGACUCCAAGCACUAUCAGAAAUCAGACUUACAUCAUAAGAGCCACAACACAAUGGCGAUUAUGUGCGGUAAAGGAUGUGUUGACCUUAUCAUGGCAGACAUUUUAAAACAUAUACCGUGCCAAAUUAUGAGACCGCCUACCUUAAACUCGCACACUGUUAAAUGCCAGUUAUAUCUCAGUAAAGUUGGGGGAAAAUGAGACACCAGAGAUCAGAGAAGCAGUUUGGGAAGGAAAAGCACCUUCUUUCCAGCUGAACAUAAAGCAAGCAAUUCCAUAGGCGCUGCUGAAACUUCCAUCUACAGAAUUGUCCUCUUUUUUUAAACUUAUUUUUUUCUUUCUUGUUUGUAUUUCAGUCAAGGGCUCUAAAAAUAGUUUUUAGAGAGGAGUGACUAUUGUCUCACAGCAAAUGUUUUUUAAUUUAAAAACAACCCCUGAAAGAAUUCUCUCAUCUUUUCCCCAAAGUGGUUAGCUGGAAUGUUUAUUUUGCUGUCAUUCCCUCCCUCCACCCCUCGGCGCCAGGGCUGAGUGAAGACUGCAGUGAAACGUUUUAAAUAGCGGGUGGGUGAGUGGGUGGGGAAAGCAAAAGAUCUCUACGUUUCUUGUUAACGUCUCAUGCGGGUGUAGGAGAACCAUCUGAUAUGUGUACUAUCCUGUAUGAGAUGGAGUUCUGACUGGGACUCAGAAGCGAGAGCCCAAGCCAUCAUCUAAUCCAGGAAGGAGGAAGGGAGCAGAGCAAGGCGGAGUGGAAAUCUGAUGUGUCAGGCACUGUCUUACACAGCACUUCCUGAGAGAAGCAGUCACUUCAGGAGCAUUUACCAUGUGCCAUAUGCUUUUACUUUCAUAAAGAACCUGGAAUCAUUGACCCUGUUUUACAAGUGAGCAAACUGAGGCCCAGUAAAAUAAGUUUUGCUCAGGGGGACCCAGUUAGUAAGUGGAAGGACUGAAUUCAAACCUUGGUUUCUCUGCGUCCUUCCUGUUCCUCUCUGUCUGAAAGCUAGGAUGGGAAGUCUGACAGCAGGGAGCCACCUAGAUUGUAGACAGAUGCCUCUCGACUCUGCAGCUUUGGAGGGUGACUGGGCCUUAUUCGAUAUUAAGGAAACAUUCCCCUGGUGCCCUUCAGGGUAUUUGGAUUAUCUUGCUCUGGCUAGGCCCUGAAAUUGGGCCGGUGGAGAGCAAUUGCUUUUCAGGUAUCAUGAAUAAAUGUUACGACAUCUGAUUUAUGUUGAGAAGUGACCCAUAAUCAGGUUCUCUUGCAGAUGGAUGGGACAGGUGUGAAGUGGUGGGAUGAUGUCAUUUGAGUGUCACAGCAGAUCUGACUUCAGAAAAAACCAGAAGAAAGGCUGGUGCCCGUCUCUCAUCUGACAGAACUGAUGUGGAAUCCGGGAGAGCCUGUGCGGUGCCAGUGAAGAAGAGGACACAUGAAGGCCUGCCCUCCCCCGUGGAAACUCAUCCCUCCCCCCUGUGUGUAUGUGACGGCGUGUAUGUAGCGGCUUCUGCGUUCUGUGAAAGCUGCCCAGCAACAAACGUACUUCCACCGGAUACACCCCCAGAUCCACAGCAGGCACAUCUCUCUCCAAGGGAUGACCAAUUUUAUUGUGACUGACUGUGCUUUUCGUUCUCUUGUCGUGCUAGGUCAAGAAAAAGUGCCCUGUGAUCAACCAGGAGCAGUUAAUUAAGAAGCAUCCUUCAGGUAGUCCCUCAAUGGCUGCUUUGAACUUACUCAGGAAAGCCAGCGCCCGUGAGAUUGUAUACCCAAACAGCAUCGCUUUAUCUGGAAGGAUCUGGAAUAAUCUUGAAGGGCAGUCAGAAUUGUCUCCCUACCUGCUACUAAAAUCCCACUUUAUUUAUAUUGAAGCAUGAAACAGUGGGGAGCACAGUAGGGCCUUGUAGAUAGUCUCUAAAAGUCCAGUUAUACAUUUGUGAAAAUGUGGCUCCAUGAAGUAAGAUGGGUGGCAUGAAGACGGGGUUGGAGAAAGAGUUAAAAGUUCGAAAUACAGGGAUAUUUUUAGUACAUGAGUUAUCCAGCACUUCAGAUCCAUAAUUCAGUGCUGUGGAAAUGAAAAAAAUGAUUGAAGAGGUAGAAAGGAAAUGACUUAAAAAAAAAAAAAAGGACCAAAGAGAUCUGAUUAAAAGUUGAAAUCAGUAUUUCUGAACUCAAAUUGCUUGAGUUUCCAAAAUAGUCACUAAAGGAUCUGACGGAACCUGAAUUAUUGGGUGAAUUCUGCCGGUUUUCUGGGUCUUGUCACAACAUGAAGGCUGGGAUGUGUAUUACCAAGUGAGAAUUUUCAGUGUAGGUUUUUGUCACCCCUGCUCCAGCCCCCUGGCCUCAUUUGGCUUAAAUGCAGCGUAGGGAGAGUUCUCGUCACUCUGGUGUGCUGAAUCAAGCCCUAUCUCCCAACAGGUGUACUGUCCUUUCCCUCCAGCUGGAACCCUUCUUUCCAUGGCACCCCGACACAGGCCUUCAGCCCCACCCCCACACUCAGGCUCUCCCCUCUCAAGUACCAUGAGCAGAGAUGCACCACAGUUUGACAUCCAGCCUUUCCCCCUUGCCAAGUCACAUUUCCUUACAAACAAGUUUUCUCCUCCCAAGUAAGCAGCGAUUACCAGGGAACACCAACCUACCAGUUAAAGAGCCUGCAUUUUCUGAAACAUCAGUUUUACUGAAAUGGUUUGGAGUCGAGGGAUGACCUUAUUUUUAGAUACAACAGCUACAUUAUGAAAUAGAGUGUUCAUACACACAGUUAAGAUAAAAUGGGACACUUCACAGGGAAUUCUUAUUUGCAAGUGGGGUACAUGUUCCCUGUCCUCUGCCUUUAGUGGUAUUUUGGUGUUCGCUUCCGAGAAGUACAAUUGCUACUGUAUCCAGGCAGCUGACCAGGGCCUAGACCCUUAGUCACCCGCACAGGGAGAAGCCCCUCUCCUGCUACCCGCCUGCCUGCGACCUGUGUACCCGUCUCAGAGCGUUAGGGCCAGCGGGUGUGUGCGUGCAUGCAGGAUGGUUCUGAGGCAGAAACAGUACUUACUGUAGGAACCCUGUCUAUGUCAUUGUUCAGUCCUGUGCAUGCUAUAAAAUUCUUUGAGGCCAGGAAGCUAUCAGGCGUAUAUGCUUCUGGGUUAAGAUUAUCUUAGCUCUCUAAAUAUGUUAGGAUGUUAGGACUGAGAGUGCUUUGGGCUAUUUGAAAAAAAAAAGUAUUUUUCUCUCAAACUGGUGGCCAACAAAUGGCUCAGACUGUUUCUCAGUGCUUUACCUAUCUGCCUGCAAAGACUGGAGAAUUUGGCAUACCACUAGUUACAACCCCCAACCGUAUCCCACGGAACUAUCCAUAAAGAAGGACCAGUGGCCACUCUUAUAAGAGUUUAAAAGCCAGAAGAUGAAGAAGACUUUAGGAUCUGUAUGCUUGUGUUUGUCUUUCCCCAAUAAUUAUUGUUUAAUCUCCAAAUAGCAGCCUUAUCUUCACAAUGGACAGACCAUUGGCUCCUCCCUUCCUGAUUGUAUGUUAUUACUUAAAAUCAGUAUUUGGGAAACCCAGGCAUUUAUGCAGUGGAUAUGAACAGAAAUCUAAAAAUACAUGCCAGCUUGUCUCAAUAUAUUAUCAUAUCUCUGUGAUCCUCAAGGAAAGCACUUUUGCUUUUACUUAAGAUUUCAGAUUUGCUUUAUGGGCUCCUGCUGUCUCCAGCACCUGAUAAAACUUUAACCAGGGAAGCAUUAAACACGGCGCAGCAACUUCUGCCCCGGCUCCUGAGUCCCCGCCGGCAGCAUUUAGCGGUGUAAGACCCAAGGUGCUUCCUGCCAUGGCACCAGCUUCCCCCAGAGCUGGAGUGCGCUGCUCGGCCCUAAGCGCCAGCAGGAUGCGGCUUCCCUCCUGCCAGGUCAGUAAAAGUAAGAGUGCUCGGAAGUGUGUGCUCACCAGCUGCAGGCUCCAGGUUUGCCGAAGUCCCCAGGGAGAAGUCAUCAAGGGCGGCAGGUAAUGAAUGUCUCCAGAAUGAAUAAGGUCCUCACAGCAAUCCCUGGCUGCUUUCCAAAUCUGGGUUCUCUGGAGGCUGAGAGUGGGUUUGUCCUUUGAUUUGGUGUCAUGAAAUGCAGGGCAAUUCCAAGAAGUUCUCUUAGGAGUCUCAGCUCUGACAGCCCAGGAGGGGAAAUGACCUGUAUUGAGGACCAGCUGUGAGCUGGGCCCUGUACUUGGCCCCCAUUUGUUAGAUGAUAGAACAGAUGUGGAGUAAUAGAGCCCCUUGCCUUGAGUGACACAGCUAGGAAAUGCUGGAGCUCUCCCUAACUUCGUGGUGGUCCAUGGUACAUCUACAGUCCGGAGGGAGGAAAAGGCUUCCAGUUCCCCCACUGCAGUCUGACUAUCCCACCUUAUGGAUUCGUUUUCAAAGUUACAUUUCAUGGCUACCGUUUGGGCUCAGAAAUGGCAUCGAGGUGGCCUCGCUCUUCCACCUUGGCAGGUAUAUGAAGUAUACAUUGCUAACUUGAGCUUGCCCCCAGGAGCUGGGGCAGCCUUUCCUUUUUGGUGCCAUCCCCCAUAAAUAGUGUUUCUAGGCCUUCAAGAGUAUAGAAGUUCUCAGAAAUAGUAAAAGCAGAGGGUGUUCUGCUCUCUAAGUUUAUCCGAAAAUGUCUGGUGCUGCAAUCCUACAGAACAGGAAAUCUUCAGAUUUGAGCCCAGCCAGUGCUGUGCUCUGAGAGGCUGUGUUAACUCCGAGUCCAGUGAAUCUGGAUUUCCCUGCUGACAGCUGAUGUGUGUAUGUGUGCACACGAUAUGCACACAUAUGUGUAUACACACACAUAAAUAACACACACACACACACAUGCAGCUUAAGAACGAAGGGGAUUUCAGAGCAGCCGCUCGUGGCCAUUACCCCUGCAGAGGUUUCUGCCAGCCCUGAUCACAAGCAUCCCCAGAUAGUCGGAGCCUCGGUGCUUGCUUACAAGGUGCUUACGAGAACAGCCCCUUGGCGAAGGUUGUCAGCUCCUAAGGCACCAUGGCAGCCCUGAGGGGACUUGCCCAGGCCUGCUCCAAUGUGUCUAAGGGUUUGGGAAAUUUGGAUGACCCGGGGGUCUGCCCACUCCAGUCAGGCCUGAAGGCACAGCUGUUGAGUUUAUGACUUGUGGUCGUGGCAGGGCAUAGGAAAUCCCCUCGCCCACCUAGAAAAUAUUCCCUUGCCAAUACCCGAAUUCCAUGCCCACAUAAUGGCCGCUCAGUACAUGCUUUGUAAUAAGAACAUCGGUUGCAUGUUUACUCUGUGCCUAGCACAUCUGAAAUGUUCUAUUUAAAAUACAAAUCUCAUUAUGAAUGACCUCGGCCCAGCUUUAGGAGAGAAAGAAGGCCCAUAGGGGAGAGUUGAGAUCUCAUUACUGUUGCCUCUACCCAGCCCAUUCUGAAGACCCCACCCCAGCCCAUUCUGAGACCCAGAGGCCCAGGGGACCUGCCUGGUAGAACAGUAGCGUUGGGAACUGAGAACACACCCGAAACAGCAGAGCAAGUGCCAGAGCAGGAAAAGGAAAACGAAUUAAGACACUUGUGGGCAUGCUGGUGCACAAAAUGCCACAGAGCCCAUGCUGGGCUUGAUGUGACCUUGAGGGGACAGUAGAUUGACAUUAAUGGGAGUCAAAUCUGACCAGUCUUUGUACAGUGACAGGCCACACUGCAUGGGGGUGGGGGGGACAGCCGACGAACCCAUUGUCCUCUGCCUGUUUCCCGUGCACAGUCACAUUCCCUCCUUAGUCACCUUCCCCUUUCACCCUUCAUAUUAAACAAGGGAACACUCAAUCUUUCAAGGGAAAUUACACAUUUGAGUUAAUGUUUCAGUAUAUCAUUUUCAUACUGUAAAUUAUUUUGUAAGAGAGAUUUACCGCUAUCCCAGGAUGUUUGGACUCCGGACCCCUGUGCAUUUGGAAAUCAAUAAACUAUUACUGGAAAUGCCA